CCUACGGGCGGCAGCAGUGGGGAAUAUUGCACAAUGGGCGCAAGCCUGAUGCAGCCAUGCCGCGUGUGUGAAGAAGGCCUUCGGGUUGUAAAGCACUUUCAGCGGGGAGGAAGGCGGUGAGGUUAAUAACCUCAUCGAUUGACGUUACCCGCAGAAGAAGCACCGGCUAACUCCGUGCCAGCAGCCGCGGUAAUACGGAGGGUGCAAGCGUUAAUCGGAAUUACUGGGCGUAAAGCGCACGCAGGCGGUCUGUCAAGUCGGAUGUGAAAUCCCCGGGCUCAACCUGGGAACUGCAUUCGAAACUGGCAGGCUAGAGUCUUGUAGAGGGGGGUAGAAUUCCAGGUGUAGCGGUGAAAUGCGUAGAGAUCUGGAGGAAUACCGGUGGCGAAGGCGGCCCCCUGGACAAAGACUGACGCUCAGGUGCGAAAGCGUGGGGAGCAAACAGGAGUAGAUACCCCAGUAGUC
This 465-nucleotide ribosomal RNA is filed under the name uncultured Klebsiella sp. Its description in RNAcentral is "bacterial SSU rRNA". It matches the Rfam family "Bacterial small subunit ribosomal RNA", at positions 338 to 795 of the family's 1533-position model. The record is from RNAcentral. Lineage: Bacteria; Pseudomonadati; Pseudomonadota; Gammaproteobacteria; Enterobacterales; Enterobacteriaceae.